UUAAAUGAAUUGACGGGGGCCCGCACAAGCGGUGAGCAUGUGGUUUAAUUCGAAGCAACGCGCAGAACCUUACCAACCCUUGACAUGGAUAUCGCGGGACCAGAGAUGGUUCUUUCAGUUCGGCUGGAUAUCACACAGGUGCCGCAUGGCUGUCGUCAGCUCGUGUCGUGAGAUGUUCGGUUAAGUCCGGCAACGAGCGCAACCCACAUCCCCAGUUGCCAGCAGGUCAAGCUGGGCACUCUGUGGAAACUGCCCGUGAUAAGCGGGAGGAAGGUGUGGAUGACGUCAAGUCCUCAUGGCCCUUACGGGUUGGGCUACACACGUGCUACAAUGGUGGUGACAAUGGGUUAAUCCCCAAAAGCCAUCUCAGUUCGGAUUGGGGUCUGCAACUCGACCCCAUGAAGUCGGAAUCGCUAGUAAUCGCGUAACAGCAUGACGCGGUGAAUACGUUCCCGGGCCUU
RNAcentral lists this ribosomal RNA (461 nucleotides) under uncultured Roseovarius sp. Its description in RNAcentral is "bacterial SSU rRNA". It matches the Rfam family "Bacterial small subunit ribosomal RNA", at positions 901 to 1382 of the family's 1533-position model. The record is from RNAcentral. Lineage: Bacteria; Pseudomonadati; Pseudomonadota; Alphaproteobacteria; Rhodobacterales; Roseobacteraceae.